GAUGAACGCUGGCGGCGUGCCUAAUACAUGCAAGUCGAGCGAACGGACGAGAAGCUUGCUUCUCUGAUGUUAGCGGCGGACGGGUGAGUAACACGUGGAUAACCUACCUAUAAGACUGGGAUAACUUCGGGAAACCGUAGCUAAUACCGGAUAAUAUUUUGAACCGCAUGGUUCAAAAGUGAAAGACGGUCUUGCUGUCACUUAUAGAUGGAUCCGCGCUGCAUUAGCUAGUUGGUAAGGUAACGGCUUACCAAGGCAACGAUGCAUAGCCGACCUGAGAGGGUGAUCGGCCACACUGGAACGGAGACACGGUCCAGACUCCUACGGGAGGCAGCAGUAGGGAAUCGUCCGCAGUGGGCGAAAGCCUGACGGAGCAACGCCGCGUGAGUGAUGAAGGUCUUCGGAUCGUAAAACUCUGUUAUUAGGGAAGAACAUAUGUGUAAGUAACUGUGCACAUCUUGACGGUACCUAAUCAGAAAGCCACGGCUAACUACGUG
Molecule: ribosomal RNA, 497 nt
Filed under: uncultured bacterium
Lineage: Bacteria
Description: partial 16S ribosomal RNA
Rfam family: Bacterial small subunit ribosomal RNA
Source: RNAcentral